GAGAUCUGGGCUUGAACAAAGCGCAUAGACACGAUCUUUACAUCUUUUGUAAUCUUUCUUUCUCCCUGUCUGGGUGUCUGUCUCACUUUCUCUCUACCCCCUUUCCAUUAGCUAGCGAACGUCUUCUCCAUUGUUCAGUUUCUAUAACAUACACUGCCCCACUUUAAGAUGCCAUACAAUACACACUGCACAUUAUUCCUAACAGGAGGAGGAGUUAUUUUUAGAAGCACAAUCCCAACCCUUUCUUCAUGCUGUGAAAUGCUGUGUUUAUCUGAGCUCAUCUGUAUUUUUUUUUAAGAUAGGUUGCAUUUAGCACUUUUUUGGGUUAUUGUGUUUUAUCGAACAACCAGUAUUCCAAUGUAGCACAAAAACUGGAGGCUCAUCUUGUAUACGUGUUCUAAUAUGACCACAAGGGGGCGACAGAGCACUUUUUAAAGCACAGUGUACAUGGCGCGAGUGGACGCGUCAGAUUACAGCAUAUGGCUCUGGCCCACACUGCUUUUGUCUGUGUGGCUGGUGGGAGAUACUUGGUUAUUGUUUAGCGUAGGAGUGUGCGGUUUGGCUCCAAGGUUUUGGGACUGUUCUGGGAUCUUCUACCCAAAUCCUGAGCACGAUGGGAAAACUCUUACACAAUCCUCCACAAAAGAUCAGACAUCGGUGGAUCUUUUUAGGUUUUAUUUUUUCCAUUUAUCUUUUACCGUUCGGGAUUUGGUAUAAAUGCUGCUUCUUUCCAGCCUUGUGGAACAACACUUAUUAGGACUGGGUUCAGGACGUGGCGCAUGUUAAACCCCUCUUACUGUGACUGUUUCCUGCUGUUCUCCUUCUGCUCACCUUUGACCUCCAACCCUCUCCAUUUCUGCUACUAUGAAAACAAAUGUGAAGUCUUGAAACAAGUCGGACAUCAAGCACAUAAAGCUCUGACCCGGUUUCUCACAUCUGUGUAGAAAAUCCUCCUUCAGUCCUGUUGGCGAGAGAUAACAGCCAAAGCAUGUAACAUGUCGCUUUAAGCCUUAUGGCUGCUCACAAGACUUGACUGUAUGAUAUAAAACAUUUCCACAGUGGCCUGUAUUGGUAAACUAAUGAAAAAAAAACAACAACCAAGAUUUGUAGCCUGAUUUCCUCUGUACAGAAGUCAUGACUAUAUAUAAAUACAUAGAUUAUAUAUAUAUAUAUAUAUUUAACAAACAUGAGUUCAAAGUGAUUAAUGUGAAUGCUUGGGGCAUAUUAAUUGCAGAGUGUGUGUGUGUAUUACUGUAUUUUCUUUUGGUUCCUUUGUAUUUUUUUAACAAUUUAUUUUGGUUGCAUUAAAAAUUCAAAUGUAUAAAGUGAAGCAUUAAAC
This is a long non-coding RNA of Ictalurus punctatus (channel catfish), 1339 nucleotides long. NCBI's taxonomy places the organism in Eukaryota, Metazoa, Chordata, Actinopteri, Siluriformes, Ictaluridae. The record is from Ensembl.